Molecule: ribosomal RNA, 497 nt
Filed under: uncultured bacterium
Lineage: Bacteria
Description: partial 16S ribosomal RNA
Rfam family: Bacterial small subunit ribosomal RNA
Source: RNAcentral
GAUGAACGCUGGCGGCGUGCCUAAUACAUGCAAGUCGAGCGAACGGACGAGAAGCUUGCUUUUCUGAUGUUAGCGGCGGACGGGUGAGUAACACGUGGAUAACCUACCUAUAAGACUGGGAUAACUUCGGGAAACCGGAGCUAAUACCGGAUAAUAUUUUGAACCGCAUGGUUCAAAAGUGAAAGACGGUCUUGCUGUCACUUAUAGAUGGAUCCGCGCUGCAUUAGCUAGUUGGUAAGGUAACGGCUUACCAAGGCAACGAUGCAUAGCCGACCUGAGAGGUGGACCGCCCACAGGGGAACUGAGCCCGGGUCCAGCCCCCUACGGGGGGCAGCAUUAGGGAAUUUUCCGAAAUGGGCGAAGGCCUGACGGAGCAACGCCGGGGGAGUGAGAAAGGUUUUCGGAUCGUAAAACUUUUUUAUGGGGGAAAAACAUAUGUUUAAGUAACUGUGCACAUCUUGACGGUCCCUAAUAAGAAAGCCCCGGCUAACUCCGUC